GCCAAUGCAUUAAUAUGAUGCAAUAUCGAAGUCGAAUAAAAUUCUGGGUAGACUAUGAUAAUGACAUUAUCUAUCUAGAUGUCUUGACCAAAAUACGUGCCAGCAGUCGCGGUAAGACGUUAAAGACAAGUGUUAUUCAUGUUUAAUCGGUUUAAAGAGUCCCAAGACUGUUAAUAAAGCCUACUGGGGACACAUUAACUAGAGUUAUAUGAAAGGGGGCUGUGAGGUACUGUCGGGUGGAGAGAUAAAAUUCCAUUAUACAGAUGAUGGCACCAACAAAUGCGAAGGCAUCCUCUUAUGUAAUAACUGACGUUUUCAGACGAAGGCUUAGGGAAGAAAAAUGGAUUAGAUACCCUCGUAUUCUAAGCAGAAAAUGAUGAAUGUCAUAGGUUGAAGAUAAAUAAUAUUUAUUUUGGUCUAUAAAUGAAAGUGUAAGCAUUCCACCUCAAGAGUAAUUUGGCAACAUUGGAACUGAAAUCAUUAGGCCGUUUUUGAAACCAGUAGUGAAGUAUGUUGUUUAAUUUGAUAACCCGCACAAAACCUUACCACUAUUUGCAUAAAUAUUUAUGUAUAUAUUUACAAGUGUUGCACGGCUGUCUUCAGUUGAUGUCGUGAGGCUAGGUUACUCCUAACAAUCAACGCAAACCCUUACUUUAUUUUUAUAUAAAGUUGUUCACCUGUCAUGGGAGAUGCUAAUAGGGA
Molecule: ribosomal RNA, 702 nt
Filed under: Nephroma laevigatum
Lineage: Eukaryota; Fungi; Ascomycota; Lecanoromycetes; Peltigerales; Nephromataceae
Description: SSU rRNA
Rfam family: Bacterial small subunit ribosomal RNA
Source: RNAcentral